Long non-coding RNA from Cyprinus carpio (common carp), 5558 nucleotides. RefSeq lists it as uncharacterized. Lineage: Eukaryota; Metazoa; Chordata; Actinopteri; Cypriniformes; Cyprinidae. The record is from RefSeq and is a predicted model, not a curated record. The transcript has 2 exons.
UCUCUCUCUCUCUCUCUCUCUCUCUCUCUCUCUCGUACUCCAACUGCCACCGCUCCGCCUCCUCUUUUCGCAACAUUGACGCAAUGUAUAAAUGCUGGAACAAAAGGACAACUUCCUUGAAGCUUGGCGUAAUUGCAAUAAUAGAGAUAUAGAAGGGCUUUAGUGACAUACUGAUGGGUCCGGCGUUCUACCGGAAUAUCUUUCCCACCGCUUCACUGGCUCGACGUACACGUAAAACGGAUUUGCACUUUCCCAGGUUAUUCCAAGCCUGAAGUAAGUAUCAUAAACCAGCCUUUUCUUUUCCAUACCCAGUCUCUCCAGCUCCGCGCUCGCGCUCCCCUGCUUCAUGAGAGGAAAUACGACGGAGCGAAGCUUUGUUGUUGAGUUGCCAUUCACGGUGCGUUUUCUCGUGUUUUGGCCGUGCGAUUUAAAUGUUUGAGGACGAAAGUUGCCGUGUUGUUUUACGAUUCAUUAUCAAGCUUAUCUGAAAUCCAUAUAGGCUUAUGUUUUAGCGGAGGUGGUAAACAACCACAGCCGCACAGUUGUUAUUAGGUCUGAAAUGAAAAGGGCUAGUUUUUUGAAUGAAUGCUUAUUUGUGUUUCUUGAAGGGUUUCAACAAAAGGCGAUGGAUGUGCUCUAGCUCGCGCGCGGGGGGGGUGGGGGGGGGGGGUGUUGAAGUAGAAGUCGCCUAAUGUCAAUGACACUUUCCACGAUUAAUUAAUUUCGUGGAAUCGCAAAGGUUGAAUAGCAUAUCAAAAGAGCGGCUCGAGCGCGUAUACAUACACACAUCAUAAAAAAAAACUGUAGUGAAUGCCAAGCAGUGAAGUGCCGGGUUUUAUUAUGUUCAUCUACACUAAAACUGUAUUCCGCUUCCAUUCCGCCGCUCCAAAAUUAUACGAGGAUGUGUUGUGCGUCUCAAAACCAAUAUAUUCUCACAGGUUGCUCGUUCUCACUGCUUAGUAUGAACAGGCGCGUUAUAUUUCCGCGACCAAACGGUGCCUGCGCUACUGCUGUCAAUGCCGAUCCUAUACUUUGCGAACAAAGGACCGGGGGAGAAUUUCGUGAGGUGGAGGACGACAGUAAAAGAACGGGUUGACUGUUUACAAUAAUAACAGGAUAGCAGUGACGUCGAGUGAUAGACAGCGCUCUCAGCCAGAGGAGAAACUUCUGAGGCAUCAACAACAUUCUAAAUUUGGACAGGGGUUACAUCAUCGAAGUUAAAGCUGCUGGGGGGCGGGACUUCCGGUUAGAUUUGAGUUCGUACCGCUGAAGCGGCUGCCUUUUCUGUUGUGUCUUUGUAUCUGUCCGUCGCUACACAGUCGCCUCCCUUUUUUCACUGCCACAAGCAGAGAAAUGCAUGAAACAUUUUGACCGCUUGCUGCGCUGGACGUAUGAAAAUGUUUCGAGGUGCUUGUAAUAACGGCGUGGAUGUAUUGUGUGGACCGAACUCACCACAUUCAAAUGAUCAAAACCUUACCGUGACCCAAGCCAGCUUAAAAGAAGUAAUGAACUUAUAUAUUAUGACUUAAGCUAUCCAAAGAGGGCGUUUGUAUCGGACUGUGCAUCAUCUCUGUCAAAACGUGUGGUUUCGUGCUGGUGCUCUUCAUAAAAUCGCGUAAUGAUAGAUAGUGGUAUGCCAUAAAUUAGACAGGGUUGAUGAAAUACCAUGUAAUGACUUGCUACAAAGUCAAGACAGUUCACUAUCACAUGAAAUUACUACAUAUAAUCACUGAAUGAAUAUCACUCGUAUGUCAUAAUAAAUACAUGAUGAUAAAUUUACUGAAACUGUAUAGCCAUUUCACCCCGUUGCAUGGUAUUAGCAUAUAUUUAUCUAUUAUGACUGGUGCAAAAUUUAUUGGCUAUAAUGCCAGAAACUAAAUUUCAGAUAAAGUGUGUUUGUGUGAAAUGACUUGUUUGCUUUGCUAACAGGUUCUGUGAGUUGAUGUCAGAUCUUAUAGGAAAAACCUGACCUAUUUAAACCUAUUUUGUGUUCUUACUCUAAGUGGUUUAUAUAUUCUAUAAAGCAUUUAAUUAGAAAGGUUUUGUGUGUGUGUGUGUAUUGUAAAGCUAUGGGAUCAGAGACCAUUCACUUUAAGAUCUCUCCUGCUUUGGGUCACUAAUAAAUGAUGUUAAACCAAACAAACCAGCAUGAGUUAGUGGCUGUGUCUUGUUAGGCCGGCCCACUUAACAGGGGUCGAAGGUUGCUGUUGUAUUCUCAGACUUGACUUGCAGGCAUCUAUUGGCUUUUGAUGGAUGUUGUUACUUAAGUGUGCUCUGGCCUCUGUAAAAGUGGGGGCUGUCCCCUCACAUGCUCCCACCCCCUCCCUCAUACUAAAGAGAUCACAGGGGUGCAGCUGCUUCAGACAGCUUUGGGGUGGGGUGGGGGUCCGAGACCCUUCAAUGAGAGAACAAAACCCUUUCAUAAACACACACACUCAAGUUCACCCCUUACAACUGCCCCUAUUUUCACACCCCUAAAAAAAGGUUUGAAAAGUGGAGGGUGCCAGAGUGCACUGGGUGCACAGCACAUGUCCUUAUAAGAACAUAGCUAAUUACUUAAAUGUUAGGAUCAUGAAUUCGAAUAAACGGAAAGGCAUGUUUUCUUUUCUGUAUUUUUUUCUGCAUUACGUGGCUUGAUUUGUGACUCAUUUCUUUCAAAUUUAUCAGAAAUAUUAUAUAUGAAUGAGUAAGGCAACAGGUCAAGGGUUUAAUGUAAUGCAAGAGUGAGAAUAAUCAGAUAUUGCAUACAACAAAACACAAAAUUUCCACUUUCAGUGAUCCAGCAAUUGUAGUCUGCCACAACCUAGUUUGCUGACUCAGCAAAUUUUCAGCUUAUUUUUUUUUCUUUUACUCUGGUGUCCUCUUCGACUCCAUCAAAUUGCAAAUUGCAAAACAAAACCACACAUCUGUUUAAAGAGAAGACAGAUAUAUUCUUCUCACACCAACAGGAAACUCAAAUAAAAAGUUAAUCAAAUAAACAUUCUGUAUUUUUUCAUUGAGUGUACUGAAUGUAAUUUGCAGCCCUGCAGUGUGUAUAUUUCAAGAGUUGUUUAGGAUGAAAUAUGAAGGCAGAAAGUUUGAUUCAGCAAUUCAAGCUAUGAAUGGAGAGUGUGUUAAAGUUCUGUAGCAACCUCUUGUUUGUCACACUUGCAUUAUAAGGUGAUACACAACCUAUCACAGAAAUUUAAAAUUAGUCAGUAAUGAUGUAGCUUGCUGUAUAAAAAGGGCCUUAAAUAUAUGGCUGCAUUUAUUGUUGGUAUGUUUUCCAAGUGAAAAAGCUCUAUGUAUGUACAGUAUAAGGGACUUUAAAAUUGUGCAUUUGUUUAUUCAUAUAUACUUCCAAAAGCGUCAUGCUUCAUGUGUUUGGCUGUUAUUCAUGCUGUAUUAGCUCAACAUCUUUUAAUAUAGCUAAUUACACAGCCCUGUAAUAUUUACAGGCAAUCUAACAAUAACAAAGUUGAGGUACGUGAUAAUGUAGAUUUGGACAUCUAAUAUAUACAACUGUAAAAUGUGAAUUAUUAAUAUAUUCAGAUCAUAAAACAAGCUUUAUUGAAACAUGUAGCUAAGAUUAUCAGUAGUACAUAUCUAUUGGCAGUAAGGUGUCAUAGGUGUAAUGUAUAUUCAGUCGUCUUAUUAGAGCCUUGAUACAGCUGCAUAUGAAUGUUAGUUAGUAAUAAAUCACCCAAACUACAAGAAAUGGGGUAACUCUUGUGCUGGUAUCUUCUACUACAGAGUAUCUGCGUGUGGAUAAGUGGGCAGCAUUAAGAUUUGGGCUUUCAAGUGUGUCACAAAGCAGUUGCCGAGGAAAAACCAGGUCAUAUCUCCCUCUCUUUCUGAGCAGAAUGGAUAUUUUACAACACCACUGAGACUGAGCUAUCAGUUUGCAUAGGGCGUAUACAGAAGAACACCUUACAUAAGUUUCUUUAUAGGGAGCUGGCAGGGAAGUAGUCGAUGAAAUAGCUUAAAUGACAAGCAUCAGAUAGCCAAGGGCUACUUUUUAUUUUUCGAGGCUUCUUCUGUCCUUAUCUGUCCCGAUUUGGGUGCUUCCCCUCAAUUGGCGGAUGCACACUGGAUUCUUCCCCUCUAAGCACGCGCACGUCUUUAAACGUGUAGUUUCACAGAAUAAAACACUGUUUCGCGUCGCUUUGACGGUGAUGAAAAAAAAAACUCCUUUACAGUAAAAUCUGUUUAUCUCCCACCUUCAAAACCGCUCUCCAAGUCCAUGUUCCCGGCAUGCACACGCGAGUUGGGGGCGGCUCUUAGCGAUUUGAAUGAGGAGAGUCACUUUAGGCGCCAUUUUCGAGUAAGCGGCGAUAACAUCAACACUGAGCGCGCGCGCAUAGAGGGACAGCGCGCGCGACGCUUCGUCUUAAAAAAUAACGCUUAUUAUCCAAAUGCAGGAAAAACGGCACGCUCGAAACCGCGUUUAGAGAGUAAAAUCGCCUGCGAUGUAGAGUCGACGAGCACAGAAGUGACCAAUACGAGCCGACUGUGGAGCCGAAGGAGAAAAGGGGGCUAUCGCUCAGCUGCGUAUGUGGAAAACCUGCCAUUUUUAAAAAAUAAUAUAUAAAAAUAACGCCCGAUGCGGGGAAAAAUAUAGAAAAAUUCUGGAAAAUAGCAGAGGGUCUUAGGAUUGGGAUUCAGCGCGGCGGUGGUGAAGAUUGUGUCGUUUUAUUGUUUUUUGACGUCGCGUUUUGAGCGGGAGUAACGGACGAGCCGCUGGCGCAGAUACACGCAGUUCAGUCCGAGUCUGUGCUGCAUCAGACUCUCAACUCAGAUUAAUGAAGAGACAUCAGCCUUUUUAGCCGGUUGCGAAACGCGGAGGGUGUCUGUGGGGCGGUGUGGACGCGCGUGCGCUCGGCGCGGGGCCUGUCGGUACUGUAGCAGCACAGAAUGGUUUGUGAGUUAUAACGGGGGUGCAGGCCGUACUGUGCUGCGGCAAGAACGACAGGACAGACGCGCACUUCACAUUCAAACGAGUGAAAAGACGACAGCAGCAGCAAGACUACGUGUGCCGGUGAGCCUCCUGAACUUGGCCGUGUGACUGACUGGCUGCCUGGCUGUAGCAGCACGUAAAUAUUGGAGUCAAAGCACUAGCGAAUCCUCCAGUAUUGACCGUGCUGCUGGAGUUAGGCGGGCCGUUUACCGUCUGCGGGGGCCUCUGCGCUUCGGGAUUCCUCAUCAGGAAAGCACAAGAAGAUUAACGACUGACUAAUAACAUACUGUCCAAAUGCAGGAUUUCUGAACGCUUUUAUUCUGGGAACGGAUGAGAUGGAAUUUGAUAAAACAUCAAAUAAGCUGUAUAAUUGUUUAUGUAAUUUCAGUUUAAAUGAGUCAGAUGCUUCUCUAAAAGUGCUUGGAGCUCGUUGAUACAGUUUAUGUACAUGGAAAAUGCAAUAAAGGAAAAUAAAAUUAAAAAACAUUCAAAUCACAACGAUUGCAUCAAGGCAAAUUAAUUGUGCAGAGUCGCGUUGCGCGCCAAUUCUGCAGUUUAUGUCAAAUACAUAAAUCUGCCAGAUUUCUCACACCAAGUUCUAAUAAAAAUAUCUAGACUAUAA